GUGUCAGCCGCCGCGGUAAUACGUAGGUGGCAAGCGUUAUCCGGAAUUAUUGGGCGUAAAGCGCGCGUAGGCGGUUUUUUAAGUCUGACGUGAAAGCCCACGGCUCAACCGUGGAGGGUCAUUGGAAACUGGGAAACUUGAGUGCAGAAGAGGAAAGUGGAAUUCCAUGUGUAGCGGUGAAAUGCGCAGAGAUAUGGAGGAACACCAGUGGCGAAGGCGACUUUCUGGUCUGCAACUGACGCUGAUGUGCGAAGGCGUGGGGAUCAAACAGGAUUAGAAACCCCCGUAGUCC
Molecule: ribosomal RNA, 292 nt
Filed under: uncultured prokaryote
Description: partial 16S ribosomal RNA
Rfam family: Bacterial small subunit ribosomal RNA
Source: RNAcentral